Molecule: ribosomal RNA, 1818 nt
Filed under: Escherichia coli
Lineage: Bacteria; Pseudomonadati; Pseudomonadota; Gammaproteobacteria; Enterobacterales; Enterobacteriaceae
Description: partial 23S ribosomal RNA
Rfam family: Bacterial large subunit ribosomal RNA
Source: RNAcentral
AGAAAGCGUAAUAGCUCACUGGUCGAGUCGGCCUGCGCGGAAGAUGUAACGGGGCUAAACCAUGCACCGAAGCUGCGGCAGCGACACUGUGUGUUGUUGGGUAGGGGAGCGUUCUGUAAGCCUGUGAAGGUGUGCUGUGAGGCAUGCUGGAGGUAUCAGAAGUGCGAAUGCUGACAUAAGUAACGAUAAAGCGGGUGAAAAGCCCGCUCGCCGGAAGACCAAGGGUUCCUGUCCAACGUUAAUCGGGGCAGGGUGAGUCGACCCCUAAGGCGAGGCCGAAAGGCGUAGUCGAUGGGAAACAGGUUAAUAUUCCUGUACUUGGUGUUACUGCGAAGGGGGGACGGAGAAGGCUAUGUUGGCCGGGCGACGGUUGUCCCGGUUUAAGCGUGUAGGCUGGUUUUCCAGGCAAAUCCGGAAAAUCAAGGCUGAGGCGUGAUGACGAGGCACUACGGUGCUGAAGCAACAAAUGCCCUGCUUCCAGGAAAAGCCUCUAAGCAUCAGGUAACAUCAAAUCGUACCCCAAACCGACACAGGUGGUCAGGUAGAGAAUACCAAGGCGCUUGAGAGAACUCGGGUGAAGGAACUAGGCAAAAUGGUGCCGUAACUUCGGGAGAAGGCACGCUGAUAUGUAGGUGAAGUCCCUCGCGGAUGGAGCUGAAAUCAGUCGAAGAUACCAGCUGGCUGCAACUGUUUAUUAAAAACACAGCACUGUGCAAACACGAAAGUGGACGUAUACGGUGUGACGCCUGCCCGGUGCCGGAAGGUUAAUUGAUGGGGUCAGCGCAAGCGAAGCUCUUGAUCGAAGCCCCGGUAAACGGCGGCCGUAACUAUAACGGUCCUAAGGUAGCGAAAUUCCUUGUCGGGUAAGUUCCGACCUGCACGAAUGGCGUAAUGAUGGCCAGGCUGUCUCCACCCGAGACUCAGUGAAAUUGAACUCGCUGUGAAGAUGCAGUGUACCCGCGGCAAGACGGAAAGACCCCGUGAACCUUUACUAUAGCUUGACACUGAACAUUGAGCCUUGAUGUGUAGGAUAGGUGGGAGGCUUUGAAGUGUGGACGCCAGUCUGCAUGGAGCCGACCUUGAAAUACCACCCUUUAAUGUUUGAUGUUCUAACGUGGACCCGUGAUCCGGGUUGCGGACAGUGUCUGGUGGGUAGUUUGACUGGGGCGGUCUCCUCCUAAAGAGUAACGGAGGAGCACGAAGGUUGGCUAAUCCUGGUCGGACAUCAGGAGGUUAGUGCAAUGGCAUAAGCCAGCUUGACUGCGAGCGUGACGGCGCGAGCAGGUGCGAAAGCAGGUCAUAGUGAUCCGGUGGUUCUGAAUGGAAGGGCCAUCGCUCAACGGAUAAAAGGUACUCCGGGGAUAACAGGCUGAUACCGCCCAAGAGUUCAUAUCGACGGCGGUGUUUGGCACCUCGAUGUCGGCUCAUCACAUCCUGGGGCUGAAGUAGGUCCCAAGGGUAUGGCUGUUCGCCAUUUAAAGUGGUACGCGAGCUGGGUUUAGAACGUCGUGAGACAGUUCGGUCCCUAUCUGCCGUGGGCGCUGGAGAACUGAGGGGGGCUGCUCCUAGUACGAGAGGACCGGAGUGGACGCAUCACUGGUGUUCGGGUUGUCAUGCCAAUGGCACUGCCCGGUAGCUAAAUGCGGAAGAGAUAAGUGCUGAAAGCAUCUAAGCACGAAACUUGCCCCGAGAUGAGUUCUCCCUGACCCUUUAAGGGUCCUGAAGGAACGUUGAAGACGACGACGUUGAUAGGCCGGGUGUGUAAGCGCAGCGAUGCGUUGAGCUAACCGGUACUAAUGAACCGUGAGGCUUAACCUU